CGAGAGGGCAGGAGACCUGAGGCUUGUGAUCUGGGUGGGGUCAGUCACUGUAUCCCUGUGUGACCUUGGGAUACUCCCUAAGGGCGGGCCUCAGUUUCCCUGCCUGUCACAUGGAAAAGGCAAAAUGUGGCCCCUUUGGAAAAUAGAGGUCGUUAAGCCUGACCACCCCCGGGGUCACCUCUCUGGCCGUCUACCUUCCACACUGACAAGGGCCGUGGGGACGUAGCUGGCCAGACAGGUGACCCCAGAGCGGCGUCCCCAGGUACUUCUUGCUUUCUGGUGCCUGUGGAGGAGAAGCUGAGAAAUUGACUCACUAGCGAUGGGAUCACUAGAAAUGAGGCGGGGAGCAGUGGCUGGGAAAGAGGGGAGCAGGCCGAGACACCUCGAGGCCUGGAGGGGUGGUGGGUGCUGACCGCGCCCCUCUGCCUCUCCAAGGUCCUCAGCCCUCGCUCUCGCUGGCGGAGCAGCACCUGGAGUCGCCCGUGCCCAGCGCCCCGGGGGCUCUGGCGGGCGGUCCCACCCAGGCGGCCCCGGGAGUCCGCGGGGAGGAGGAACAGUGGGCCCGGGAGAUCGGGGCCCAGCUGCGGCGGAUGGCGGACGACCUCAACGCACAGUACGAGCGGCGGAGACAAGAGGAGCAGCAGCGGCACCGCCCCUCACCCUGGAGGGUCCUGUACAAUCUCAUCAUGGGACUCCUGCCCUUACCCAGGGGCCACAGAGCCCCCGAGAUGGAGCCCAAUUAGGUGCCUGCACCCGCCCGGUGGACGUCAGGGACUCGGGGGGCAGGCCCCUCCCACCUCCUGACACCCUGGCCAGCGCGGGGGACUUUCUCUGCACCAUGUAGCAUACUGGACUCCCAGCCCUGCCUGUCCCGGGGGCGGGCCGGGGCAGCCACUCCAG
This 900-nucleotide long non-coding RNA is filed under the name Homo sapiens (human). RNAcentral describes it as "non-protein coding lnc-ZC3H4-1:1". The stretch from base 171 to 246 matches the Rfam family "mir-3190 microRNA precursor family". The record is from RNAcentral. Lineage: Eukaryota; Metazoa; Chordata; Mammalia; Primates; Hominidae.